CCAGCUGGUGACCAUGUUGUCACGUCGGUAUCAUACUGGUUACGAAACUUGUUUGAUUUCUAAUUGGAUUUAGAUAGUGUGUUUUGGUGGUAGAUAGUGAAAUGUGUUACUCAAGUAAACUGAAAUGAAGAAAAUCAAAGAGUUUAGUGGUUUUGUCACAAAAUUUGGGAAAGUCUAGAGCAUCCAACUGAGACCGAAAUUGAGAGGUAUCAUCCUGUUAUACAAAUGACAGUUCAAAAAUGAGUAUAUACAUACCAUUACAAACAACAAUCAUCAUUCCUAUAAGCAUCACAAAACCUAUAAUUGGGUUUGUUAGUAACACAAUUGAUACAGGAAUAUUAAUAAUGCAACACCACCUCAUUAUUAUCAAUGAAAACUUCUAUGUGAGAUUUUGGCCAGUAACACAAUUUCCCCUCAAACCAAAAGAAAAGAUAAACCCUAAAAUCCCCUAAACCACAAGAAUCAAAUUCAUCAAUAGAAUUUCCAAAGCAAACAAGAAUAAAAAAAAUUUUAAAAAAAAAAACAGGCUUAGAAAUUGAUGGUCGUGAAAGUAGGACUUACAGGAAGAACGAGAUCAUAGGGUGCAAAGAAGACCUUGAAGCUUUGUAUCCCACGCGUGAAUGCGAAAACGAGAGGGAAAAACAAUUUAGGGU
RNAcentral lists this long non-coding RNA (653 nucleotides) under Medicago truncatula (barrel medic). Its description in RNAcentral is "long non-coding RNA (MTRU_LNC001282)". The record is from RNAcentral. Lineage: Eukaryota; Viridiplantae; Streptophyta; Magnoliopsida; Fabales; Fabaceae.